This 459-nucleotide ribosomal RNA is filed under the name uncultured bacterium. Its description in RNAcentral is "partial 16S ribosomal RNA". It matches the Rfam family "Bacterial small subunit ribosomal RNA", at positions 338 to 795 of the family's 1533-position model. The record is from RNAcentral.
CCUACGGGUGGCUGCAGUGAGGAAUAUUGGUCAAUGGGCGGGAGCCUGAACCAGCCAAGCCGCGUGAGGGAAGAAUGCACAGCGUAUCGUAAACCUCUUUUGUCAGGGAACAAAGGCUGGGACUAGUCCCCGGAUGACUGUACCUGAAGAAAAAGCAUCGGCUAACUCCGUGCCAGCAGCCGCGGUAAUACGGAGGAUGCGAGCGUUAUCCGGAUUUAUUGGGUUUAAAGGGUGCGCAGGCGGCCUGUUAAGUCAGCGGUAAAAGGCCGGGGCUCAACCCCGGCGUGCCGUUGAAACUGGCAGGCUGGAGUUGGAGAGAGGUAGGCGGAAUGAGCGAAGUAGCGGUGAAAUGCUUAGAUAUCACGCAGAACUCCGAUAGCGAAGGCAGCGUACCGGCUCCAGACUGACGCUGAGGCACGAGAGCGUGGGUAGCGAACAGGAUUAGAUACCCGUGUAGUC